RNAcentral lists this unclassified non-coding RNA (272 nucleotides) under Hevea brasiliensis (rubber tree). Lineage: Eukaryota; Viridiplantae; Streptophyta; Magnoliopsida; Malpighiales; Euphorbiaceae. The record is from RNAcentral.
GGAUGUGUAGAACUAGAAAGAUAGCUGAUCAUCUUAAAUCAGGAGAGAUGUGAAAAAUUUGUGGAAAGAUAGAAAAGUUAAGAUGGAAAUUUAAGAGAGUAAGCGACACAUAGCCAGUGUUAUCAAGGCAAGAGGCGACACGAAGGCAAUAGGGUACCCAAUGGCCUGAGGUGAGAGGCGAGGCGGGGGCCUUUUUGAAGCAAAGCAUCGUAGCUUAAAUUGCCCAAAUUAUUUAUAUACAUAUAUAAUUUUAACAUAAAAAUGUCAUACUU